Molecule: non-coding RNA, 934 nt
Organism: Phalacrocorax carbo (great cormorant)
Lineage: Eukaryota; Metazoa; Chordata; Aves; Suliformes; Phalacrocoracidae
Source: RefSeq, a predicted model, not a curated record
UUCAACUUCGUGUGGUCCUACAGCCCCGCCUCUACCUUCAGUGUGGUCAUAGAGCGAGGGAGUGAGUAGGAGGGACUAGGACUGACUGCAGGGACAGAGGCACAGACACAGAAGAUGUGGGCUGAGCUGUACUGCAGGCAGAGAGGAGCUGGAGAGGGGUGAGACAGAGCGGGCCUGGCCAUGUGGGCUGUCCUGUGGGGGGGGUUAUUGCCCAUCAUAGCAGUCACUGGCCAGGUGGCCUUGGAGCAACACGAGAGGGAACUGGCCGUGCAAGGGGGAGAUGGAGUCACCUUCCAGUGCAGCAUGAGUGGCGGCAGCAUGAGCAGAGAACAAGGAAAGGGGUUGAAGUCAGUUCAUCAGCUGUUGUCUCUGCUGCUCCUGCCCUCUCAUGCACUUCCCCUGCUCCAUCGUGUGCUCUCAGCCAUGGAACACAGCUCUUCAUGAACUUCUCCAACGUGGGUCCUUCCCGUGCUCUGCAGUUCUUCACAAACUCCUCCAGCCUGGGUCAUUCCCACGGGGUGAAUUCCUUCAGGAAAAGACUGUUCCAGUGUGGGUCCUCUGUGGGGCACAGGUCCUGCCAGAAAACCUGCUCCAGCGUGGGCUCCUCUCCACAGGACCGUGGGUUUUGCCAGAAGCCUGCUCCAGUGUGAUCUCUCCACAGGGUCACAGCUUCCUUCAGGCACAUCCACCUGCUCUGGUGUGGGCUCACCCUACGGGCUGCAGGGUGGAUAUCUGCUCCAUGGUGGGCCUCCAUGGGCUGCAGGCGGACAACCUCUGUUACCAUGGUGUUCGCCACAGGCAGCAGGAAAUUCUCUGCUCCAGCACCUGGAGCACUUCCCCUACGUCUUUCACUGUCCCUGUCAGCCAGCAUGGGUUUGUGAAGUGGAAAUUGUGCUUAACCAAAUUGAAAGCAUCCAACAUUAAGAUGAAUGCU